CCCCCCGGCCCGGGAUAGCCCAGGGAAACCUGGAUUAAUACCGGAUGAGACGGGACCCGCGAAGGCGGGACCCGGAAAGGCGCUGCGGCGCCGCCGGGGGAUGAGUCUGCGUCCCAUUAGCUAGACGCGGGGUAACGGCCCACCGUGGCGACGAUGGGUAGCCGGCCUGAGAGGGUGACGGCCACAUUGGAACUGAGACACGGUCCAGACUCCUACGGGAGGCAGCAGCUAAGAAUCUUCCGCAAUGGGCGAAAGCCUGACGGAGCGAACCGCCGCGUGAACGAAGAAGGCCGUGAGGUUGUAAAGUUCUUUUCGGGAGGGGGAACAACCGUGGCAGGGAAUGGCCGCGGGAUGACGUGAAUCCCGGAAUAAGCCCCGGCUAACUACGUGCCAGCAGCUGC
Molecule: ribosomal RNA, 401 nt
Filed under: uncultured bacterium
Lineage: Bacteria
Description: bacterial SSU rRNA
Rfam family: Bacterial small subunit ribosomal RNA
Source: RNAcentral